This 710-nucleotide long non-coding RNA is filed under the name Homo sapiens (human). RNAcentral describes it as "non-protein coding MIR7-3HG:3". The record is from RNAcentral. Lineage: Eukaryota; Metazoa; Chordata; Mammalia; Primates; Hominidae.
ACCUGCAUCUGCCAACAAGACUGGAAGCAGGUGAGGCACACAGAGGGGGAGGCCCGCAGCUGCGUGGGAGGAGGGGUGGUCUGAGGGACGUGGGAUGCCGGGAAUGAGGCUGGUUUGCAGGUUGGCGCAUGGACAUUUUCCCAGAAAGGGACAGAGACGGCGAAGUUUGACGGUCUGGAAAGCAGAGACCAGCAGGGCUGACUGCUUGGGAGCACCAAAUAUCCGGACAGCGCCUCUCGGGAGGUCCGAGAAGAGAACCGCGAUCUGUUUCAGCACCGGGGCUCAGGACAGUUCCCAGCGGGCUCCGUUUCGUCUCCAGAACCCUGGACAGCUCCUCCAGCUUGGAAUGCACUCCCUCCACCUCCAACCAGAGCUCCCCACAACUGACCCUGCCUUCUUCUGCAAGCUCCAUUUCAUCAAGGGAAACGAUCCUUAUUGCCUCACCAUUUCCCACGUGAAGUCUGUAUUGACAUUCUCAUAGACCUGGGAUAUUGUGUCUGCAGCACAUAGUCCAAUUAUUUUCAUGUUAUCUACUGACAGGUCUAUUUGUCUCCCUGUUACACUGUGAGCUCCGUGAGGGCAGAAACAAUGUUAGUAUUUUCACUGCUGUGUCCCCAGCGCCUGGUCCGGGGCCCGGCACACAGCAGGCAUAUAAUAAGCAUGUGUUGAAUCAAUAAAGGCAUCAAAGAAUAAACCAAUACAUCAAUCAA